RNAcentral lists this transfer RNA (66 nucleotides) under Lanceolaria lanceolata. RNAcentral describes it as "tRNA-His". Lineage: Eukaryota; Metazoa; Mollusca; Bivalvia; Unionida; Unionidae. The record is from RNAcentral.
GCAAAGUAGUUUUAGUUAGAAUAUUAGGUUGUGGUCCUAUUGGAGGAUAAAGUAUCCCUUUGUUGA